AAAUUGAAGAGUUUGAUCAUGGCUCAGAUUGAACGCUGGCGGCAGGCCUAACACAUGCAAGUCGAGCGGUAGCACAGAGAGCUUGCUCUCGGGUGACGAGCGGCGGACGGGUGAGUAAUGUCUGGGAAACUGCCUGAUGGAGGGGGAUAACUACUGGAAACGGUAGCUAAUACCGCAUAAUGUCGCAAGACCAAAGUGGGGGACCUUCGGGCCUCAUGCCAUCAGAUGUGCCCAGAUGGGAUUAGCUAGUAGGUGGGGUAAUGGCUCACCUAGGCGACGAUCCCUAGCUGGUCUGAGAGGAUGACCAGCCACACUGGAACUGAGACACGGUCCAGACUCCUACGGGAGGCAGCAGUGGGGAAUAUUGCACAAUGGGCGCAAGCCUGAUGCAGCCAUGCCGCGUGUGUGAAGAAGGCCUUCGGGUUGUAAAGCACUUUCAGCGGGGAGGAAGGCGAUAAGGUUAAUAACCUUGUCGAUUGACGUUACCCGCAGAAGAAGCACCGGCUAACUCCGUGCCAGCAGCCGCGGUAAUACGGAGGGUGCAAGCGUUAAUCGGAAUUACUGGGCGUAAAGCGCACGCAGGCGGUCUGUCAAGUCGGAUGUGAAAUCCCCGGGCUCAACCUGGGAACUGCAUUCGAAACUGGCAGGCUAGAGUCUUGUAGAGGGGGGUAGAAUUCCAGGUGUAGCGGUGAAAUGCGUAGAGAUCUGGAGGAAUACCGGUGGCGAAGGCGGCCCCCUGGACAAAGACUGACGCUCAGGUGCGAAAGCGUGGGGAGCAAACAGGAUUAGAUACCCUGGUAGUCCACGCCGUAAACGAUGUCGAUUUGGAGGUUGUGCCCUUGAGGCGUGGCUUCCGGAGCUAACGCGUUAAAUCGACCGCCUGGGGAGUACGGCCGCAAGGUUAAAACUCAAAUGAAUUGACGGGGGCCCGCACAAGCGGUGGAGCAUGUGGUUUAAUUCGAUGCAACGCGAAGAACCUUACCUGGUCUUGACAUCCACAGAACUUUCCAGAGAUGGAUUGGUGCCUUCGGGAACUGUGAGACAGGUGCUGCAUGGCUGUCGUCAGCUCGUGUUGUGAAAUGUUGGGUUAAGUCCCGCAACGAGCGCAACCCUUAUCCUUUGUUGCCAGCGGUCCGGCCGGGAACUCAAAGGAGACUGCCAGUGAUAAACUGGAGGAAGGUGGGGAUGACGUCAAGUCAUCAUGGCCCUUACGACCAGGGCUACACACGUGCUACAAUGGCAUAUACAAAGAGAAGCGACCUCGCGAGAGCAAGCGGACCUCAUAAAGUAUGUCGUAGUCCGGAUUGGAGUCUGCAACUCGACUCCAUGAAGUCGGAAUCGCUAGUAAUCGUAGAUCAGAAUGCUACGGUGAAUACGUUCCCGGGCCUUGUACACACCGCCCGUCACACCAUGGGAGUGGGUUGCAAAAGAAGUAGGUAGCUUAACCUUCGGGAGGGCGCUUACCACUUUGUGAUUCAUGACUGGGGUGAAGUCGUAACAAGGUAACCGUAGGGGAACCUGCGGUUGGAUCACCUCCUUA
Molecule: ribosomal RNA, 1540 nt
Filed under: Klebsiella pneumoniae
Lineage: Bacteria; Pseudomonadati; Pseudomonadota; Gammaproteobacteria; Enterobacterales; Enterobacteriaceae
Also listed under: 4 other names
Description: bacterial SSU rRNA
Rfam family: Bacterial small subunit ribosomal RNA
Source: RNAcentral